This 520-nucleotide long non-coding RNA is filed under the name Apteryx rowi (Okarito brown kiwi). RNAcentral's name for it is "lncRNA (ENSARWG00000008081.1)". The record is from RNAcentral. Lineage: Eukaryota; Metazoa; Chordata; Aves; Apterygiformes; Apterygidae.
CAAGACCUUUGCAUCUCCUCCUUUUCUAGUACUCACUGGAUGGCCGCAAAAGCAAACAGAGAUUUAUACUACUGCUGAUGUCAGAAAUUAGCUUUUAAAUGUUGAAGCAGCCCAAGUGCCCAUUGGGGUGCCUGCAGACCCAGGUGUUGAGAAGGCAUUAAAGCAGGUGUGGAGGACAGAGUCGUUUGCAAAAGGCAACAUGAAGAAGAGUGUGGUAGUGAGUAAAAAAGAGCCAUCUUGCUGGGAGGCAGAAGGAUUGUUGUUUCCAUGCCCUGUGAGAAGAGGAAUGGGAAGUUCCAGUUCUCAGAAUGUUUCUUCAGUUUUUCUCUUACAAGGAUAUAUUUUCUGUGAAGGGAGUUAUCCAACCAUGUGGUCCUCUGAUAGAAGGGACUGGACGGGACGACUCCAGAAACACCUUCCUGUUUUAUGUUUCCAAAGCAUCUUCUCUUCAGAGAGAGAAAUGGAAAAGGAGAGAGACAAGGACAGAAGCUGUCUGAACAAAAGCGCUUUGUUAUGUUGA